Molecule: long non-coding RNA, 618 nt
Organism: Thalassophryne amazonica
Lineage: Eukaryota; Metazoa; Chordata; Actinopteri; Batrachoidiformes; Batrachoididae
Exons: 4
Source: RefSeq, a predicted model, not a curated record
UUACACACCCUUGUACUUGUCAGACUGGAUACCUUCAAACACAGGGAGUGGCAGUGCUGGAAAGCAUUCUUCUAUUUAAACUCUUGCAGGGUUUAACUGUCACCUCUGUGUCGACUCAUCCUGUCUUCAAGGAACUUAUUCAUUCUCCUUUACCAGCUGACCUACACUGAGACAAAUGGAGUGUGAUGAGAUGACUGAGUUGCAGAUGAGCUUGUGCAUUCAGCAGAUUGUCUUCAAUAGCUAUGCCGACUCAGAAGACAACUGUAGGAUGAGCAAAACAGCCUUUGAAACCAUGCUGAAGGAGCAAAUCCCUAUGUUUGAAAAUGCUGACGAGGCUUUCAAAGCAGUGGACAGGGACGGCAAUGGGUCUGUGGAUUUCUGCGAGUUUGCCUGCCUGCUUUGCACAUGUGCCAUGCUCAACAAUGAAAUUUGUGAAAGCAUGAACAAAGCGUACAAGGAAAAGAAAGACAAAGGUGUCUGCUCGUAGCAGAAGUAGAAAGGCGACUGCAUGCAACAGCGUUGUCACUGAAGCGUGCCACGACACCUAAUUGUGAAACUAAAGAUGUAAUAAAGUACAGAUAUUUUUAAAUGAAAAAAUAAAGGUGCAUUCUAGCUCAA